RNAcentral lists this ribosomal RNA (563 nucleotides) under Curtobacterium sp. RNAcentral describes it as "bacterial SSU rRNA". It matches the Rfam family "Bacterial small subunit ribosomal RNA", at positions 563 to 1125 of the family's 1533-position model. Lineage: Bacteria; Bacillati; Actinomycetota; Actinomycetes; Micrococcales; Microbacteriaceae. The record is from RNAcentral.
AAGAGCUCGUAGGCGGUUUGUCGCGUCUGCUGUGAAAUCCCGAGGCUCAACCUCGGGCUUGCAGUGGGUACGGGCAGACUAGAGUGCGGUAGGGGAGAUUGGAAUUCCUGGUGUAGCGGUGGAAUGCGCAGAUAUCAGGAGGAACACCGAUGGCGAAGGCAGAUCUCUGGGCCGUAACUGACGCUGAGGAGCGAAAGCAUGGGGAGCGAACAGGAUUAGAUACCCUGGUAGUCCAUGCCGUAAACGUUGGGCGCUAGAUGUAGGGACCUUUCCACGGUUUCUGUGUCGUAGCUAACGCAUUAAGCGCCCCGCCUGGGGAGUACGGCCGCAAGGCUAAAACUCAAAGGAAUUGACGGGGGCCCGCACAAGCGGCGGAGCAUGCGGAUUAAUUCGAUGCAACGCGAAGAACCUUACCAAGGCUUGACAUACACCGGAAACGGCCAGAGAUGGUCGCCCCCUUGUGGUCGGUGUACAGGUGGUGCAUGGUUGUCGUCAGCUCGUGUCGUGAGAUGUUGGGUUAAGUCCCGCAACGAGCGCAACCCUCGUUCUAUGUUGCCAGCGGG